This 253-nucleotide ribosomal RNA is filed under the name uncultured bacterium. RNAcentral's name for it is "partial 16S ribosomal RNA". It matches the Rfam family "Bacterial small subunit ribosomal RNA", at positions 524 to 776 of the family's 1533-position model. The record is from RNAcentral.
UACGAAGGGGGCUAGCGUUGCUCGGAAUUACUGGGCGUAAAGGGCGCGUAGGCGGCACUGUUAGUCAGGCGUGAAAGUCCUGGGCUCAACCUGGGAACUGCGCUUGAUACGGCAGAGCUAGAGGAUGGAACAGGCUCGCGGAAUUCCCAGUGUAGAGGUGAAAUUCGUAGAUAUUGGGAAGAACACCGGUGGCGAAGGCGGCGAGCUGGUCCAUUACUGACGCUGAGGCGCGACAGCGUGGGGAGCAAACAGG